UACGUAGGUGGCGAGCGUUGUCCGGAAUUACUGGGUGUAAAGGGCGUGUAGGCGGGGAUGCAAGUCAGAUGUGAAAUACCGAGGCUUAACUUCGGGGGUGCAUCUGAAACUGUAUUUCUUGAGUGUCGGAGAGGAAAGUGGAAUUCCUAGUGUAGCGGUGAAAUGCGUAGAUAUUAGGAGGAACACCAGUGGCGAAGGCGACUUUCUGGACGAUAACUGACGCUGAGGCGCGAAAGCGUGGGGAGCAAACAGGAUUAGAUACCCUGGUAGUCCACGCCGUAAACGAUGGAUACUAGGUGUAGGAGGUAUCGACCCCUUCUGUGCCGCAGUUAACACAAUAAGUAUCCCACCUGGGGAGUACGGCCGCAAGGCUGAAACUCAAAGGAAUUGACGGGGGCCCGCACAAGCAGUGGAGUAUGUGGUUUAAUUCGAAGCAACGCGAAGAACCUUACCAGGGCUUGACAUGCAGGUGAAUAAUGUAGAGAUACAUUAGGCCUUCGGGACACCUGUGCAGGUGGUGCAUGGUU
RNAcentral lists this ribosomal RNA (527 nucleotides) under uncultured bacterium. Its description in RNAcentral is "bacterial SSU rRNA". It matches the Rfam family "Bacterial small subunit ribosomal RNA", at positions 524 to 1050 of the family's 1533-position model. The record is from RNAcentral.